UGGGGAAUAUUGCACAAUGGAGGGAACUCUGAUGCAGCGACGCCGCGUGAACGAAGAAGGCUUUCGAGUCGUAAAGUUCUUUUAUAUGGGAAGAUAAUGACGGUACCAUAAGAAAAAGCCCCGGCUAACUACGUGCCAGCAGCCGCGGUAAUACGUAUGGGGCAAGCGUUGUCCGGAAUUAUUGGGCGUAAAGGGUACGUAGGCGGUUUAACAAGUCCUAAUUAAAAGGCUAUGGCUCAACCAUAGUAUGGUUAGGAAACUGUUGAACUUGAGUAGAUGAGGGGAAAGUGGAAUUCCAUGUGUAGCGGUGAAAUGCGUAGAUAUAUGGAGGAACACCAAUGGCGAAGGCAACUUUCUGGAAUCAAACUGACGCUGAGGUACGAAGGCGUGGGGAGCAAACAGG
Molecule: ribosomal RNA, 403 nt
Filed under: Fusobacteriota bacterium
Lineage: Bacteria; Fusobacteriati; Fusobacteriota
Description: Fusobacteria bacterium partial 16S ribosomal RNA
Rfam family: Bacterial small subunit ribosomal RNA
Source: RNAcentral